UACGUAGGGGGCUAGCGUUGUCCGGAAUCAUUGGGCGUAAAGAGCGUGUAGGCGGUCCGGUAAGUCCGUUGUGAAAGUCAGGGGCUCAACCCUUGAAUGCGGGCGGAUACUGUCGGGCUAGAGUCCGGAAGAGGCAAGUGGAAUUCCCGGUGUAGCGGUGAAAUGCGCAGAUAUCGGGAGGAACACCUAUGGCGAAGGCAGCUUGCUGGGACGGUACUGACGCUGAGACGCGAAAGCGUGGGGAGCAAGCAGG
This 253-nucleotide ribosomal RNA is filed under the name uncultured bacterium. Its description in RNAcentral is "partial 16S ribosomal RNA". It matches the Rfam family "Bacterial small subunit ribosomal RNA", at positions 524 to 776 of the family's 1533-position model. The record is from RNAcentral.